AGGUGGGGAAGGAAAUAGAAGAGGAAAAACCCUGAUCUGGGAAUUUCAUAUUAUGCUGCUGCCCAGGUAUGCCAGUGCCAUGGUCGACGAAACAGAUCAAACCUGACAUAGAAAUUAAAACUAAGAGAAAACUAUGGACAGGAGUUCUACCCAAUAUCCAGCAGCCUUCUUCACGGAAUAUGUGCCUUCCACAGAGGAAAUCGAUAGGAUGCUCAUAGACUGGGAAAAGCAAAUUGAAGCAUGAGACAAAUAUAGCUCAAGAUGUCCCUAUAAUAAUGAUGCAGAUAUUGACUACAUUAAUGAAAGGGAUGCUAAAUUCAGCAAAAAGGUAGAAGGAUUCUAUGGAAAAUAUAUAAAGCUGAAAAAUGUAUAAAGCUGAAAUUAAACAAAAUCUAGAAAGAGGAACAGCCAUC
Molecule: long non-coding RNA, 413 nt
Filed under: Homo sapiens (human)
Lineage: Eukaryota; Metazoa; Chordata; Mammalia; Primates; Hominidae
Description: non-protein coding lnc-PRKD1-14:1
Source: RNAcentral